AGUCUAAAACGACUCUCGGCUCUCGAAUCGAUGAAGAACGUAGCAAAAUGCGAUACUGUAUGUGAAUUGCAGAAUCCCGUGAACCAUCGAGUCUUUGAACGCAAGUUGCGCCCUAAGCCUUCUGGCCGAGGGCACGUCUGCCUGGGUGUCA
This 151-nucleotide ribosomal RNA is filed under the name Brassica napus (rape). Its description in RNAcentral is "rRNA 5_8S_rRNA". It matches the Rfam family "5.8S ribosomal RNA". From Rfam's summary of the family: 5.8S ribosomal RNA (5.8S rRNA) is a component of the large subunit of the eukaryotic ribosome. It is transcribed by RNA polymerase I as part of the 45S precursor that also contains 18S and 28S rRNA. The record is from RNAcentral. Lineage: Eukaryota; Viridiplantae; Streptophyta; Magnoliopsida; Brassicales; Brassicaceae.